This 71-nucleotide transfer RNA is filed under the name Ariosoma meeki. RNAcentral describes it as "tRNA-Tyr". It matches the Rfam family "tRNA". From Rfam's summary of the family: Transfer RNA (tRNA) molecules are approximately 80 nucleotides in length. Their secondary structure includes four short double-helical elements and three loops (D, anti-codon, and T loops). Further hydrogen bonds mediate the characteristic L-shaped molecular structure. tRNAs have two regions of fundamental functional importance: the anti-codon, which is responsible for specific mRNA codon recognition, and the 3' end, to which the tRNAs corresponding amino acid is attached (by aminoacyl-tRNA synthetases). tRNAs cope with the degeneracy of the genetic code in two manners: having more than one tRNA (with a specific anti-codon) for a particular amino acid; and 'wobble' base-pairing, i.e. permitting non-standard base-pairing at the 3rd anti-codon position. The record is from RNAcentral. Lineage: Eukaryota; Metazoa; Chordata; Actinopteri; Anguilliformes; Congridae.
GAUAGGGUGGCCGAAAGUUCAGGCGGUGGGCUGUAGUCCCAUAUAUAGAGGUUAAAUUCCUUUUCUUAUCA